UGUAUAACUUAUACAUGCAUUAUCUUGAUGGGACAAAAGCAAACUAAUUCAACACUAUUUCACGACGUUCUUCAGGAACUGCCAUUUUGCCCCCUAACGGUGAGAAAAUUGUCUCAAAAUUUAGGAAAAUAAACGCACCAUAAUUAUCGAGUCAAAUUGACUGGAUUGGAUAAUGUAGGAGUUGUGCUCGUAAGCGUCUUGACGAUAGAC
This 210-nucleotide long non-coding RNA is filed under the name Prunus persica (peach). RNAcentral's name for it is "long non-coding RNA (PPER_LNC004812)". Lineage: Eukaryota; Viridiplantae; Streptophyta; Magnoliopsida; Rosales; Rosaceae. The record is from RNAcentral.